CGGUGUUUAACUGGCGUGAUGUGGGACGUCCUACCGGUAGGCUUAGCCUCGCGAGGGGCGGCCCAACUAAUAUCCCGUCGCGGUGCUCUUUACUGAGUGUCGAGUCGGGCCGGUACGUUUACUUUGAACAAAUUAGAGUGCUUAAAGCAGGCUAUCCUCGCCUGAAUACUGCGUGCAUGGAAUAGUGGAAUAGGACCUCGGUUCUAUUUUGUUGGUUUUCGGAACCCCGAGGUAAUGAUUAAUAGGGACAGAUGGGGGCAUUCGUAUUGCGACGUUAGAGGUGAAAUUCUUGGAUCGUCGCAAGACGGACAGAAGCGAAAGCAUUUGCCAAAAAUGUUUUCAUUAAUCAAGAACGAAAGUUAGAGGUUCGAAGGCGAUCAGAUACCGCCCUAGUUCUAACCAUAAACGAUGCCAGCUAGCGAUCCGCCGAAGUUCCUCCGAUGACUCGGCGGGCAGCUUCCGGGAAACCAAAGCUUUUGGGUUCCGGGGGAAGUAUGGUUGCAAAGCUGAAACUUAAAGGAAUUGACGGAAGGGCACCACCAGGAGUGGAGCCUGCGGCUUAAUUUGACUCAACACGGGAAACCUCACCAGGCCCAGACACCGGAAGGAUUGACAGAUUGAUAGCUCUUUCUUGAUUCGGUGGGUGGUGGUGCAUGGCCGUUCUUAGUUGGUGGAGCGAUUUGUCUGGUUAAUUCCGAUAACGAACGAGACUCUAGCCUGCUAAAUAGGCGUACCUUAUGGUAUCGCGAAGGCCCCCGGCUUCGGCCGGUGGGUUUUUACUACCAACGUACAAACAAAUCUUCUUAGAGGGACAGGCGG
RNAcentral lists this ribosomal RNA (819 nucleotides) under uncultured eukaryote. RNAcentral describes it as "SSU rRNA". It matches the Rfam family "Eukaryotic small subunit ribosomal RNA", at positions 629 to 1426 of the family's 1831-position model. The record is from RNAcentral.